Molecule: long non-coding RNA, 231 nt
Filed under: Pelobates cultripes (western spadefoot toad)
Lineage: Eukaryota; Metazoa; Chordata; Amphibia; Anura; Pelobatidae
Source: RNAcentral
GUCAUGAAAGCUUUAGAUAAAUCAGCAUCAAUCCUUUUAUCCAUGGGCUCCUUAAGGGAAGCAUUGCUAUCAAUUGGUAGCGUGGAUCUUUUAGCAACCUUAAUGAUAGGAGCAUCAACCUUGGGGACCGUAGUCCACAAUCUGGCAUCCUCCUCUUUAAUCGGAUAUAACUUCGAAAGCCGACCCUGACUAGUAAUCCUCUUACUAGGAAUUUGCCACUCGUUCCUCAUC